CAGUAGCCGCGGGAAUACGUAGGGUGCAAGCGUUAAUCGGAAUUACUGGGCGUAAAGCGUGCGCAGGCGGUUCUAUAAGACAGAUGUGAAAUCCCCGGGCUCAACCUGGGAACUGCAUUUGUGACUGUAGAGCUGGAGUGCGGCAGAGGGGGAUGGAAUUCCGCGUGUAGCAGUGAAAUGCGUAGAUAUGCGGAGGAGCACCGAUGGCGAAGGCAAUCCCCUGGGCCUGCACUGACGCUCAUGCACGAAAGCGUGGGGAGCAAACAGGAUUAGAGACCCCAGUAGUCCCUGUCUCUUAUAC
RNAcentral lists this ribosomal RNA (301 nucleotides) under uncultured bacterium. Its description in RNAcentral is "partial 16S ribosomal RNA". It matches the Rfam family "Bacterial small subunit ribosomal RNA", at positions 509 to 807 of the family's 1533-position model. The record is from RNAcentral.